AGGGAUGUUCUGAAAGUGACCUGAUUAAGGGCAGCCUCUUAAGAAAAGCUUUAUAAUACUAAGGGUGUGACUCUCUAAGGCUGGAACACUCAAGAACACAAAAGCUGGAUAAGGGGCAGAGCAUCUAGGACAGGUCCGACAGGCCAGGAGAUGGAGCUGUAAGCCUCAGUGUUGGGGAGUGAUCAAGAAUGUUGCUGCCAAUAAGAAUAUGUAAGGUCUGAAUGUGCUGACGACUCAUAUUUAGUGACUGGUGCUGUACAUGCUUCUACCUCAUGCUGAAGUGGAAACCUGUGCUAACAGAAGACAUGAUGUUCUACUGCCAGAUGCUUGAUCAUCUGACUAUUGAAACAAUGGACCCCAAGGAAUUAAGAUUACUCAAGCAAUCUUCUUCUGGAGGGGAAGGAGAGGCUGAGGCCCUAUUGCCAGGCUAAAGAGGAACUUGGAGCCCAGGAAGAAAUUGCAUACAGUUCUGAGGACUUACUGAACUGCUUUGCAAGAGAGACUAGAGCAGAGACAACUGGUUACUUUUGAAUUAUGUCUACUUCUUUCCCUUUAUUGACACCAUAGUAGGAGGUCACUGAAUUUCACUUCUAUGUAUGGCCAUACUAAAUAGAUCUUUCAUUUCUCCAUUUUACUAUUAUUCAUCUCUAUAAUUGACAUAUUGGAACAGGUUGCUUGCUGGGAUAGUGAGAGCUCAAGCUUUGAUUCCGAAAACUUAGAAACACUCUGAGUUCCUUUUAUUCACUUUAGCUCGAUUAAGGCCUAUAAAAAUACAUUAGAGUAUUGAAUAAGAAUGGAAUAAUUUCUCUGACUCAUUCCCACCCAGAUGAAGGUGGUAUUAGUGAUAUUUGCUUAAUCAAUUGUAAAGAUUGGGCAUGGGGGCUCGGAACAGAGUAUCUUAGCAAAAGUUCAUUGGCUUACAAAGACACUGUACUGGCUGGUUUUGUGUGUCAACUUGAUCCAAGCUUGUAACCCCCCAGCCUGAAGCAGGCUGAGCCAGACCUUGACCUUGCUGCCGCUAAGGAGAUUACCUAGGGUGGAGCCUUCAUCCCUAGAUCACUCUAUUGUUCAGACACUGCCACUGUUCUCCUUCAAAACACUGCUACCUGCUGGGAGGCUGCGGAGCUAUUCUGGAGACUACACCCUAUCCUGCACAUCAUCACCUGCAGCUGGUUCCAGGCUCCAAGAAUGGAUUAGUGGAGGAUGGGCCCUGCCUUUAUAAGGGCAUUUGCCAUUAAACAUUUGAACUUUGAUCAGGAA
This is a long non-coding RNA of Mus musculus (house mouse), 1260 nucleotides long. RefSeq annotates it as predicted gene, 53497. The transcript is spliced from 4 exons. NCBI's taxonomy places the organism in Eukaryota, Metazoa, Chordata, Mammalia, Rodentia, Muridae. The record is from RefSeq and is a predicted model, not a curated record.